Molecule: ribosomal RNA, 239 nt
Filed under: uncultured bacterium
Lineage: Bacteria
Description: partial 16S ribosomal RNA
Rfam family: Bacterial small subunit ribosomal RNA
Source: RNAcentral
UGAGCAAUCUGCCCUUCUCAUCGGAAUAAGCGUUGGAAACGACGUCUAAUGCCGAAUACGACCUCCUUUCACAUGAUCGGAGGUGGAAAGCUCCGGCGGAGAAGGAUGAGCUCGCGGCCUAUCAGCUAGUUGGUGUGGGUAACGGCCCACCAAGGCGACGACGGGUAGCCGGCCUGAGAGGGUGACCCGGCCACACUGGGACUGAGACACGGCCCAGACUCCUACGGGGAGGNGGCAGG